RNAcentral lists this ribosomal RNA (301 nucleotides) under uncultured bacterium. RNAcentral's name for it is "partial 16S ribosomal RNA". It matches the Rfam family "Bacterial small subunit ribosomal RNA", at positions 509 to 807 of the family's 1533-position model. The record is from RNAcentral.
CAGCCGCCACGGGAAUACGAAGGGGGCUAGCGUUGCUCGGAAUGACUGGGCGUAAAGGGCGCGUAGGCGGCGAUCAAAGUCAGGGGUGAAAUCCCGGGGCUCAACCCCGGAACUGCCUUUGAUACUGGAAGUCUUGAGUAUGGUAGAGGUGAGUGGAAUUCCGAGUGUAGAGGUGAAAUUCGUAGAUAUUCGGAGGAACACCAGUGGCGAAGGCGGCUCACUGGACCAUUACUGACGCUGAGGUGCGAAAGCGUGGGGAGCAAACAGGAUUAGAUACCCCCGUAGUCCCUGUCUCUUAUAC